AUUCAUCUGACGAGUCUUAAAUAGGAUGAAACGCGAAUCCUGAAU
Molecule: non-coding RNA, 45 nt
Filed under: Schistosoma bovis
Lineage: Eukaryota; Metazoa; Platyhelminthes; Trematoda; Strigeidida; Schistosomatidae
Also listed under: 1 other name
Source: RNAcentral